UACGGAGGGUGCAAGCGUUGUUCGGAUUCACUGGGCGUAAAGCGCAUGUAGGCGGGUCGGCCAGUCCUGUGUGUAAUCUCCCGGCUUAACCGGGAAACGGCAUGGGAUACUACCGGUCUUGAGUGCGAGAGAGGAUGGCGGAAUUCCUGGUGUAGCGGUGAAAUGCGUAGAUAUCAGGAGGAACACCGGUGGCGAAGGCGGCCAUCUGGCUCGACACUGACGCUGAGAUGCGAAGGCCGGGGGAGCAAACAGG
This 253-nucleotide ribosomal RNA is filed under the name uncultured bacterium. RNAcentral describes it as "partial 16S ribosomal RNA". It matches the Rfam family "Bacterial small subunit ribosomal RNA", at positions 524 to 776 of the family's 1533-position model. The record is from RNAcentral.